AAGUCGUAACAAGGUUUCCGUAGGUGAACCUGCGGAAGGAUCAUUAACACGUAUCCAAACGUUAACCCCCCUGUGAACCUUUAGUGUGCUCGUACGCUUUGUCAGAGCGUGGCAAUCCCUAGUAAAUCAUCGCCGAACAGUUUUCGAUUUAGGGACUUCCACAAAGAGUGUGCUCGUAGCGCGAGGCAAGUGGCCUGGCAUUCCCAAGCAGUUGGUGUCUGAAAGUGUCACUGGCUGUGUAAGGAUGGCGCAGUCACGAUCGUUGGGCUCACGCCCCUUAAUCACAACUUAAUGCAUGUCAGACGCGCCUGCGCUUAAUUGUGCGGCGACCAUAAAACUCGAACAAUGGAUAUCUUGGUUCUC
This 363-nucleotide unclassified non-coding RNA is filed under the name fungal sp. RNAcentral's name for it is "partial internal transcribed spacer region". The stretch from base 1 to 46 matches the Rfam family "Eukaryotic small subunit ribosomal RNA", at positions 1786 to 1831 of the family's 1831-position model. The record is from RNAcentral. Lineage: Eukaryota; Fungi.